GAUCUUUUUGAGGUUAAAAUCGUUCAGAGGAAGGCUGAGCAGCCCUGAGCUUUUCUUGCAGCCCGAGUGCUGACGCUGCCCAGCUGGGGAGGCUUGAGGACCUCUGCCUUGAGCAUAGGAAGGGAUCCUUGUCCUGGUCGGGGCUGUGCCUUCCAAGGGACUGGGCUGGCCGCUUCUGACGGGGUAAUGGUUAGGCCAGUGCUUCCUUGACCAGA
Molecule: long non-coding RNA, 215 nt
Organism: Choloepus didactylus (southern two-toed sloth)
Lineage: Eukaryota; Metazoa; Chordata; Mammalia; Pilosa; Megalonychidae
Exons: 3
Source: RefSeq, a predicted model, not a curated record